AUUGAACGCUGGCGGCAGGCCUAACACAUGCAAGUCGAGCGGAUGAAGAGAGCCUGCUCUCUGAUUCAGCGGCGGACGGGUGAGUAAUGCCUAGGAAUCUGCCUGGUAGUGGGGGGACAACGUUUCGAAAGGAACGCUAAUACCGCAUACGUCCUACGGGAGAAAGUGGGGGAUCUUCGGACCUCACGCUAUCAGAUGAGCCUAGGUACGAUUAGCUAGUUGGUGAGGUAAAGGCUCACCAAGGCGACGAUCGUUAACUGGUCUGAGAGGAUGAUCAGUCACACUGGAACUGAGACACGGUCCAGACUCCUACGGGAGGCAGCAGUGGGGAAUAUUGGACAAUGGGCGAAAGCCUGAUCCAGCCAUGCCGCGUGUGUGAAGAAGGUCUUCGGAUUGUAAAGCACUUUAAGUUGGGAGGAAGGGCAGUAAGUUAAUACCUUGCUGUUUUGACGUUUACCGACAGAAUAAGCACCGGCUAACUUCGUGCCAGCAGCCGCGG
This 499-nucleotide ribosomal RNA is filed under the name uncultured bacterium. RNAcentral's name for it is "bacterial SSU rRNA". It matches the Rfam family "Bacterial small subunit ribosomal RNA", at positions 30 to 520 of the family's 1533-position model. The record is from RNAcentral.